AGUGAACGCUGGCGGUAGGCCUAACACAUGCGAGUCGAACGGCAGCACAGUAAGUGCGUGCGGUUACGGGGGGGGAGUGGCGGGCGGGUGAGGAGUAUAUCGGAAUCUACUUUUUCGUGGGGGAUAACGUAGGGGAACUUACGCUAGUACCGCAUACGACGUACGGGGGAGAGCAGGGGAUCUUCGGACCUUGCGCGAUUGAAUGAGCGGAUGUCGAAUUAGCUAGUUGGGGGGGUAAAGACCCACCAAGGCGACGAUCCGUAGCUGGUCUGAGAGGAUGAUCAGCCACACUGGAACUGAGACACGGUCCAGACUCCUAAGGGAGGCAGCAGUGGGGAAUAUUGGACAAUGGGCGCAAGCCUGAUCCAGUCAUACCGCGUGUGUGAAGAAGGCCUUCCGGUUGUAAAGCCCUUUUGUUGGGAAAGAACAGCAGCCGGUUAAUACCCCGCUGUUCUGACGGUACCCAAAGAAUAAGCACCGGCUAACUUCGUG
Molecule: ribosomal RNA, 492 nt
Filed under: uncultured bacterium
Lineage: Bacteria
Description: partial 16S ribosomal RNA
Rfam family: Bacterial small subunit ribosomal RNA
Source: RNAcentral